This 85-nucleotide small nucleolar RNA is filed under the name Chlamydomonas reinhardtii. Its description in RNAcentral is "CrCD66c snoRNA". The record is from RNAcentral. Lineage: Eukaryota; Viridiplantae; Chlorophyta; Chlorophyceae; Chlamydomonadales; Chlamydomonadaceae.
GGAGACGGUGAUGCUUUUAGUUCUACACACGAGAUUUCUGUCCGAGCGCUUGCGCACUGCGGACAACAAACCCUUCUGAGUCUCC